UACGUAGGGACCGAGCGUUGUCCGGAUUCAUUGGGCGUAAAGAGCUCGUAGGCGGCCACUCAAGUCGAAUGUGAAACCUCGAGGCUUAACCUCGAGCCUGCAUUCGAUACUGGGCGGCUAGAGUCUGGUAGGGGGAUCUGGAAUUCCUGGUGUAGCGGUGGAAUGCGCAGAUAUCAGGAGGAACACCGGUGGCGAAGGCGGGAUCCUGGGCCAGUACUGACGCUGAGGUACGAAAGCGUGGGGAGCAAACAGG
This 253-nucleotide ribosomal RNA is filed under the name uncultured bacterium. Its description in RNAcentral is "partial 16S ribosomal RNA". It matches the Rfam family "Bacterial small subunit ribosomal RNA", at positions 524 to 776 of the family's 1533-position model. The record is from RNAcentral.